GCCCGGGUGGUGUAAUUGGCAGCCACGACAGACUUAAGAUCUGUUGUCCGCAAGGACGUGUCGGUUCAAGUCCGACCCCGGGCA
Candidatus Wolfebacteria bacterium is the source of this 84-nucleotide non-coding RNA. NCBI's taxonomy places the organism in Bacteria, Candidatus Wolfeibacteriota. The record is from Rfam.